RNAcentral lists this ribosomal RNA (826 nucleotides) under uncultured Campylobacterota bacterium. Its description in RNAcentral is "bacterial SSU rRNA". It matches the Rfam family "Bacterial small subunit ribosomal RNA", at positions 40 to 916 of the family's 1533-position model. The record is from RNAcentral. Lineage: Bacteria; Pseudomonadati; Campylobacterota.
CGGCGGCAGCUACCAUGCAGUCGAACGCCCCGCAAGGGGAGUGGCGAACGGGUGAGUAACGCGUGGGAACCUACCCAGCAGUUGGGGAUAACCGCGGGAAACUGCGGCUAAUACCGAAUACGUCCUGAGGGAGAAAGAUUUAUCGCUGUUGGAGGGGCCCGCGCCGGAUUAGCUAGUUGGUGAGGUAAUGGCUCACCAAGGCAUCGAUCCGUAGCUGGUCUGAGAGGAUGAUCAGCCACACUGGGACUUAGACACGGCCCAGACUCCUACGGGAGGCAGCAGUGGGGAAUAUUGGACAAUGGGGGCAACCCUGAUCCAGCAAUGCCGCGUGAGUGAUGAAGGCCUUAGGGUUGUAAAGCUCUUUUACCGGGGACGAUGAUGACGGUACCCGGAGAAUAAGCCCCGGCUAACUUCGUGCCAGCAGCCGCGGUAAUACGAAGGGGGCGAGCGUUGUUCGGAGUUACUGGGCGUAAAGGGCGCGUAGGCGGCGCUCCAAGUUAGGCGUGAAAGCCCCGGGCUCAACCUGGGAAUAGCGCUUAAGACUGGAGUGCUCGAGUGCGGGAGAGGUGAGUGGAAUUCCCAGUGUAGAGGUGAAAUUCGUAGAUAUUGGGAAGAACACCAGUGGCGAAGGCGGCUCACUGGCCCGCAACUGACGCUGAGGCGCGAAAGCGUGGGGAGCAAACAGGAUUAGAUACCCUGGUAGUCCACGCCGUAAACGAUGAGUGCUAGACGUUGGGGGACUCAGUCCCUUAGUGUCGCAGCUAACGCAUGAAGCACUCCGCCUGGGGAGUACGGCCGCAAGGUUAAAACUCAAAGGAAUUGACGG